Molecule: long non-coding RNA, 521 nt
Filed under: Elaeis guineensis (African oil palm)
Lineage: Eukaryota; Viridiplantae; Streptophyta; Magnoliopsida; Arecales; Arecaceae
Description: long non-coding RNA (EGUI_LNC065236)
Source: RNAcentral
GGAUGCUAGUCCGGUCAGUUGGCCCGGGAAGCUCCAGCUCGUACUCUGGAGGAACCCCAUACUGAAUCCUUAUCAAUGAGAGCUCAUCUGGAGUCAAAGAGCUGGAAAUGGUGUCUGGUGCAAAGACCAGACGAGGUUCAGUCCCGACUACGGGUCUAUCUACGGUACAUGGACUUUGAGAAACUGGGGCUGACGAACUCCUAAAACCGCUAGAAGAGGAGAUAUCGGAAGAUAUUUUGGAUCAAAUAGAAGCCACAAAAAUCCCGAAAAUAAAAUCGAGAAAAACAGCGAACAAGCUCUCGAGGGAGCUAAACAGACGGAAUACGAAGAAGAAAGAAUAGAAAAAUGGUAAGAAGUUUCGAAACUAACCUAGGUUGGUCCGAGGAGUGCAGGAAGACGGCAAGGAUGGUGGAAGUCAACCCGAAGGAUGUCUAAGGCCGAGAAGGAUGCUAAAGGAGGCUGGAGAUCUCGGGGAAGAGGAGGAAAUCGAGGGACUCUCUCAGGCGAAGUGAAACCCCUGA